GUUAAUAUGGCAGAGCUUGGUUAUGCAAAAGAUCUAAGCCCUUUUAACCGGGGUUCAAAUCCCCUUAUUAACU
RNAcentral lists this transfer RNA (73 nucleotides) under Rana omeimontis (Omei wood frog). RNAcentral's name for it is "tRNA-Leu". It matches the Rfam family "tRNA". From Rfam's summary of the family: Transfer RNA (tRNA) molecules are approximately 80 nucleotides in length. Lineage: Eukaryota; Metazoa; Chordata; Amphibia; Anura; Ranidae. The record is from RNAcentral.